This 706-nucleotide ribosomal RNA is filed under the name Salmonella enterica. RNAcentral describes it as "partial 23S ribosomal RNA". It matches the Rfam family "Bacterial large subunit ribosomal RNA", at positions 2236 to 2925 of the family's 2925-position model. Lineage: Bacteria; Pseudomonadati; Pseudomonadota; Gammaproteobacteria; Enterobacterales; Enterobacteriaceae. The record is from RNAcentral.
UGAACCGGGUUGCGGACAGUGUCUGGUGGGUAGUUUGACUGGGGCGGUCUCCUCCUAAAGAGUAACGGAGGAGCACGAAGGUUGGCUAAUCCUGGUCGGACAUCAGGAGGUUAGUGCAAUGGCAUAAGCCAGCUUGACUGCGAGCGUGACGGCGCGAGCAGGUGCGAAAGCAGGUCAUAGUGAUCCGGUGGUUCUGAAUGGAAGGGCCAUCGCUCAACGGAUAAAAGGUACUCCGGGGAUAACAGGCUGAUACCGCCCAAGAGUUCAUAUCGACGGCGGUGUUUGGCACCUCGAUGUCGGCUCAUCACAUCCUGGGGCUGAAGUAGGUCCCAAGGGUAUGGCUGUUCGCCAUUUAAAGUGGUACGCGAGCUGGGUUUAGAACGUCGUGAGACAGUUCGGUCCCUAUCUGCCGUGGGCGCUGGAAGAUUGAGGGGGGCUGCUCCUAGUACGAGAGGACCGGAGUGGACGCAUCACUGGUGUUCGGGUUGUCAUGCCAAUGGCACUGCCCGGUAGCUACAUGCGGAAGAGAUAAGUGCUGAAAGCAUCUAAGCACGAAACUUGCCCCGAGAUGAAUCUUCCCUGAGCCUUUAAGGCUCCUGAAGGAACGUUGAAGACGACGACGUUGAUAGGCCGGGUGUGUAAGCGCAGCGAUGCGUUGAGCUAACCGGUACUAAUGAACCGUGAGGCUUAACCUUACAACGCCGAA